AUCGCUUUACUAAGCUUCUUCUCUUUGCCAAUUUGGAGCCAUUUUUGAAGCUUCCAGUAAGUUUUUGGGAGAAUAUGCCUAUACAAUGUUGCUUCCUCAGCAUCAGCAAAGGUUUUUUCAUAUGACAAAUGUGGCAAAUCGUUGUGCAGUGAAGCCGGAUCGUGGCCUAAAAUCAAGAUGCAAGUGCAAUCAAAGGUAAAACGUUGAAAUAAUUCUUGCAUAUCCACUUCAUUCCUCACAUUUGCCACAUUCUCCAGAAUUGGGACGAGCCCUUCUUCCACCUUGUUUCGGCUAGUUGUAGCGACAAACUUUUGGAACCCCUGUUGAUUGAUUAAUGACAUAAUGGUUCUCCUAUAGUUUUCCCACGAUUCUGAUUCGGCGUUGAAUAUCCCAUCACCUAAAUUGUCGAAUAUCUUCUUAAAUUCAGGAGCUUUUGUGAAGUUUUGAAAGUUUUUGCUCAAUACGUAACGAACAUUAGCUGGAUCACAAGUCACCAACAUGUCCAUGUUGCCAAACCGUGGGCCUUUAAACCAAACAGUGGUGGAGCUCUCAGGAAGCUCGGUGAUACAGUCGU
This 574-nucleotide long non-coding RNA is filed under the name Olea europaea (common olive). RNAcentral's name for it is "long non-coding RNA (OEUR_LNC008026)". The record is from RNAcentral. Lineage: Eukaryota; Viridiplantae; Streptophyta; Magnoliopsida; Lamiales; Oleaceae.